Molecule: long non-coding RNA, 42080 nt
Filed under: Octopus vulgaris (common octopus)
Lineage: Eukaryota; Metazoa; Mollusca; Cephalopoda; Octopoda; Octopodidae
Source: RNAcentral
UGAACCUGGAACCAUGUGGUUGGGAAACAAUCUUCUUAUUACACAUCUUCCCUACGCCUAUAUAUACACCUGAAUUAUCAAAGACUCAAUUCUUAAAUGUAAAAGUUGGUAAAUAUAUGUUUUUUAUACAUCAUAAUGCAAGUGUGAAUGUGAAGUUAAGAAGUAUGUUUCUCUACCAUAUGGUUUCAGGUUCAAUUUCAGGGCAUGGUACCUUGGGCAAGUGUCUUCUAUUAUGGACCCGGGCAAACCAAAACCAUGAAAUAAAUCCAUGUGUGUGAGUGCAUGUGUGUGUGUGUGUUUCCUUGUCUUGACAUCAUGUGACAGAAGGAGAAUGAGAGAGAAAAUUUUGCAUUCAAAUUUCUUUCUCAAGAUAAAAAAGUAGUAGUUAUUGCAUAAAAAAUUAAACUAACAAAAAUAAAAUUCAAGAACUAUUUUAUUCUGAAACACAAAAAUUAUACACUAAAAAAAUGUAUUUCACAAAAAAGAAAGAAUACAGAUAGUAAAAAAAAUCAAUAUACGGCUUCAUUCAUUAGAGUAUGCAUUGUACUGUGAGAUACGAUGUGUUAGGAGACAGAAGGAAACUGCUAUUACCUUAGCUUGGUGUUAUAUAGUUUUAUAAAAGCAAUUUUUUAUUAUGUGUUACACACAUUCAUCAUUCAGGUAUUCAGGAUUACAUAUUUGGAAUUAGAUUACAAGAAAUCAACCCUGUAGUAGACUGUACCUAUCAUUGAAUUGAAUAAAAACAUAAGAAAGGCUGACCAUAAGGAUAAUUGCAUAUGUAAUAUGGAUUAUCUUACUUAUGACAAAUAAUAAAAAAAAAAUUAAAUAUUAAGGAAAUAAAAUGCUUCUCUUUUAAGUAUUUAGGGUUUUGCUCCUGGCUUUUACUUUUCAAAUUAUUUGACUAAAUUAUUUUCCCUUAUUGUAUUAGUAUGGGUAGCUCCAAACAACUUAUCUUGUUAAAGAGCAUACCGCUCAAAAUAUUAAAAUCCAUUUCUUUUCCUCACAUUUUAAUACUCUAACUUUUGAAACAAUAUUUUUUCUUUUUAUCACAAUUUUGCCUGUUUGGUUUCACUUUAGCCAGAGUAGACCAAUGCCUAACCACCAUAAAAACUACAUUGCCUAUAACUAACCAGAUUUGGUAUUAUUCAUCUGACACCCAAAGGAUUAUAGACAAAUUAUUAUAUCUUUUUUUUUUCAAUUCUCAAAUCUCCAUCAAAGCUUGGUUUGCUCCACUAAAAGACAAGAUAAAUGUAAACUAUUAUGUUUAUGCUUUUCUCAAAAGGUAUUUUGUGAAACAAGUGAUGUGGAAUUGUUAUAGCCAGAUUCAAAUCCAACUGACAAACAUCCUGUCUAUCUCUUUAGCAUUCAGACUAUUCUGUCAAAUGUAAUGUUUAUUUAUUCAUUGCUGUAACUAUACAUCAACUUCAAGAUUUUGGUAAGAUUGUUUACUUUCAGAAUGACUUUGUAGAACAGGUGUGAAAUGCCAAAUCUAGUUAAUCUGAACAUAAAACAGGUAAAAUAUUUUAGCCAGAUAUGGCUGAUUCAAAUCCUUAAAAGGUCAAUCCCAAAGGCAUCCCUGACAUGACCAUCCAAUCAAUUUUUCUUUUUUCGAAUAAUAUAUCUAAGACCACAUAAUCCGAUGUGGCCUUCUGCUUUUAAGAAAAGCAGGGUGUGAUUUCAGGGAAAUUUAGCUAUUAUUUCCAACAGAUCAGGGAGAAACAUAGAGGCUAUCUUGUUUGCUCUGAAACUUAUUAAUGUUCAGGUGUGCUCUUUACUAGUUGAUCAUAUUAUUGAUUUCUCAUUAAAUUAAGUAUUUCAAUGUAUUAUUUGGUAGAAUAUAGUGAUUUCAUGCACAGUAGUAUUCAUAUUAGUGUAAAAGAUAUUAUUAUUACUAUUAUUAUUAUUAUUAUUAUUAUUAUUAUUAUUAGCAACAACUGAUUGCUAACAAAAAAAAAUGAAGAAUAAAUGAAAAUUGUAUUAAAUUGUUUUGCUUAUUAAGCAAUUACAUAUAACCAAAUACAGAGAACGAAUCAGUUAGCGCCAUUGCAGCAAGAAGUCCCUGAUGAUUUUAAUUGCUUUUCUUGAUUGUCGAGUAAAUCAAAUGGAUUGGUAAUCUGAACAAAAAGAGAAAAAAAAACUUUUAUUUAUAUAUACGUUCAUAUACAUAUUCAAUAAUAUACAUACAUUUAUAUAUAUAUAUAUAUAGAGAGAGAGAGACAGACAGAAAGACAGAGACCUGGAGUAGAGAUAAGGUUGCUAAUGUCCACAAAAAGGACUCUAGCCUAGCUAACUAAUUGAUUUACCAAAUGAUAAGUCAAACCAUUGGUUAAUUAUUAACACCAUAUAUGGUGUUAAUUAUAAGGUUGUCCCAAAAGUUUGUAGAAAGUCUUGGAAAAUAAUGGUCUUUAUUUUGAGGAAUAAUUUUUGUUGUUUUUGUUAGUACUUGGCGAGUAAAAAUUCAAUUUUCGCAAGUGUUUACAAACUUUUGGGACAACCUAAUAUUAACACCAUAUAUAUAUAUAUAUAUAUAUAUAUAUAUAUAUAUAUAUGGUGUUUUGCAAACAACUUGCAUAUGCAAGUUACUACCAGUCAAGAGCUUUGCAUACCAGAAGCCAGCCAGCAAGUAUAUGGGGUCAUAGGAGUGAAUGCAUGCCAUUUUGGGGCCUACCUCUCGAUGGCAUCAAUGUGUACUGCCCUCCUCCCCCUCACUGACAUGAGGCCUUGCUUGCUAGAUCAACUGGUUAUCAAAUAAAGCUUAAUAUUCUUCUAACCAUUGCUCAUCAUUUCUUUUUAACUAAAUCCAGUGGCUAGCAUUUUCCACUGUAGUUUGGAUAUCAGUCAUGGUGGUAUUGACUGUACGAUGAGUGAGGCCUAACGAUAACAACAGUUGUCUCACACUGUGUUCAACAAACCCUCUACAUCCGACUGAUUGGAAAAUGCUCCACUUUCCAGCCUGCGUCUUCACAUUCCUCGAGGAGGUUUACAUAACGGUCAAUCUUUCGAACCCGAGCGGUGUCUAUGUUAUCUUCAAAAGGAACCAUUAACUUGACUAAAUUCACAAAUUUCUUUCUUUUACAUCACAUUAAAAUGUCCAGUUUUGUCGUGACUGGAAUGAGAAAGAGUCCCUGGCACCCUGGUAAACCCUUAUAUAUAUAAACAUAUCCUGAUAUCAUCAUCCUCAUCAUCAUCAUCAUCGUUUAACGUUCGUUUUCCAUGCUAGCAUGGGUUGGACGGUUCGACUGGGGAUCUGGGAAGCCAUAAGGCUGCACCAGGCUCCAGUCUGAUCUGGCAGUGUUUCUACAGCUGGACGCCCUUCCUAACGCCAACCACUUCAAGAGUGUAGUGGGUGCUUUUUAUGUGCCACCGGCACAGGUGCCAGGGAAGGCUGGCAAUAGUCACGAUUGGUUGGUGCUUUUUAUGUGCCAUCGGCCAUGUUCAGAUGGUACUUUUUACGCUGCACCGGCACAGGUAUCACAACUACAAUUUCAUAUAUAUAUAUAUACAUACAUAUAUAUAAAAUCCUUUACUUGUUUCAGUCAUUUGACUAAAACUCCCCCAAAAUGUUAGAAACUUUGUUAAAUACUUACGUCACAGGAAACUUUUUCAGUUGCAGCUGUUUGGUCCUGUAAAAAUAUACAUUGGAUAGUUAUUAAAUAUGUCACAUGGUAGAAGAUUUUAUUAUUAUUCAAAUAUUAUAUUGACACAUUAUCAUCAUCAAGAUAUCCCUUAACUGAUGCAGCCAGUCAUUGGGGGGGAGGGCCACUCUAGAUGCUUUCAUUGUCAGUCAUCACCAGUGGUCUCUGUUCUCUGUCAUGCAUAGCAGGUUUUGCUGUGUUGUGAACCAUCCAGUCCUUGAUGUUGUGAAACCAGGAUUUUGACUGUGUGCCCCUCUUUUGCCCUCCCUCAGCUGUGCCCUGAAGAAUGGUUUUGGACAGGGAAUUGUGACGGCAUACACGACCCUAUCAGACUCACCAUUUAUAUGAAAAAAACUUACAAAAGUGAUUACACACUCCCACAAUAUAUUUGAUGGUAUAUAAGUGGUAUAUACGAGUGGCCGAUGCCAGCACCGCCUCGACUGGCUUCCGUGCCGGUGGCACAUAAAAUACACCAAUCCGACCGUGGCCGUUGCCAGCCCUGCCUGGCACCUGUGCAGGUGGCACAUAAAAAGCACUCACUACACUCACGGAGUGGUUGGCGUUAGGAAGGGCAUCCAGCUGUAGAAACAUUGCCAGAUUAGACUGGAGCCUGGUGCAGCCUUCUGGUUUCCCAGAACCCCGGUCGAACCGUCCAACCCAUGCUAGCAUGGAGAACGGACGUUAAACGACGAUGAUGAUGAUGAUGAUAAGAAUUUUUGGAAAAAAAAAAUGUCUCAAAACUUCACCUCGUAUGUGCAAAGUUGGGCCUAUAUUACAACCUUUAAUGAACAAAAAACUUUUUCACCUGAAUUUGGCUUGCUGAAAUGGGGUGCAUCUAAUAUACCCAUGUAGCUUUUAUGCCAUAAAAUCUUUUGCACACGUAUGCAUGUGUGUGUCUGUGUGCAUGUAAGUGUAUUUCAUUCAAAGGUGGCGAGCUGGCAGAAACAUUAGCACGCCGGGCGAAAUGCUUAGCGGUAUUUCAUCUUCCGCUAUGUUCUGAGUUCAAAUUCCGCCGAGGUCAACUUUGCCUUUCAUCCUUUCGGGGUCGAUUAAAUAAGUACCAGCUACGCACUGGGGUCGAUGUAAUUGACUUAAUCUGUUUAUCUGUCCUUGUUUGCCCCCUCUGUGUUUAGCCCCUUGUGGGUAGUAAAGAAAUAGGUAUUUCGUCUGCCGUUAAGAUCUGAGUUCAAAUUCCACCGAGGUCGACUUUGCCUUUCAUCCUUUCGGGGUCGAUUAAAUAAGUGCCAGUUACGCACUGGGGUCGAUGUAAUCGACUUAAUCUGUUUGUCUGUCCUUGUUUGUCCCCUCUGUGUUUAGCCCCUUGUGUGUAGUAAAGAAAUAUGUAUUUCAUUCAAAGCUAAUGAUCCACUCAGUCACUUUUUAAAGCUUCUUGUGUGUACAUGUGAUAUACAUUCAAGAGACAGAAGUAUUGCUUUAUAAUAUACUAUUACAAUAUAUAAAUUAACAUAUAACAUAAUACAGUGGAUUAAUGUCAUGGAUAAAUAUACUCAAAUUGUAGAGUAUAUUUUUCUGUAUUCUACAAUAAAGAGUUCAGAGUUCAUCACUUACAUUUCGUUAAGAUUAUCUCUCCAGAUUUUCUAUUGAAAUUAUAGCCAGGACAGGUGUAAACAAUGAAAUGUUUACAUCAGGUGUUCUGGAUACAAAAUAUUAUAACAAAUCCAGAGCUGACUAUAAUUUCCAUAGAAAAUCUGGAGAGAUAUAAUCUUAAUAAAAUGUAAGUUAUGAACUCUGAACUUUUUAUUAUGAAAUUAAGUGAUGUAUUGGGAUAUUUCAUAAUGCAACUAUAAUAUAAUGGGUUGUCUGGAAAGUUUGUGCCGAUUUUUAAAGGAAAGAAAAAAGGUCAAUAGAUGCUUGCCAUUACAUUUUUAAUCAACCAAAUAUGAACCAUUUUGUUGCACAAUGCAUCUCCAUCUUUCCUUUAACUCGAAAAUAUCCCUUCCCAGAAUUGAGGUGGUUUCAUGGCAAAGAAUUCAUCAAGGUAUCUUUUUAAGUCAUCCAAGGAAUUGAAAUUUUUACCUUUAAGACUAUUCUGCAGAGACCUGAAUAAGUGGAAAUCCGAAGGAGCAAUAUCUGGUGAAUAUGGAGGGUGGGGUAACACAUCCCAGCUGAACUGCAGCAAUUUUUGUCUGGUUCCCAAAGCAUCAAGUGCCGAAAAUGAACUUUCUUAUCUUCCAUUUUAAAGGGUUACAGAAUUAACACAGGUUAUAGGAACAUAAACCUUCUUCCAUGAAAGGACAGCUUAAACUGUGCUCUGAAUGGAGGUGUAGUCAAAUCCUAUUUUAUGGACUCAACUAUGUUCUAAAUUAUGUCGAAAUGUAAGUUACAAUAAAUCGGCAUGAACUUUCCGAACAACCCAAUAAUAACACUGCUAGCACAGUAGAACACUGUAUUGACUUAUAAAAACAUUUAAUAGACUGUAGUAUAUUAUAGUUGCAAAACAAAAUACGGUGUCCCUAAAAGUCAUUAAAACUUACAUUUUGUUCAGUAAUUUGGAAUUUUUCUCCAAAACGAGAAUAUUUCAGGAUAGCAUGUAAAUCCGCGUCAACAGUCACAGGUUUGUUGGACUGAAAAUAGAAAAUAAUUUAAAUCCAUUUACUCGUUUAAAGGUCAACUGAAAAAAAAAAAAAGAUUCACUCAAGAAGCCUUAUGACCAAAGAGGUAGGCCACUGCCCUAGGGUUUGUAGUCUUACCUCAAGGUUCCAUAGUCCUGCUUACCCAGGGUUCACAGUCUUGCAAACUGCAUGACAGCCUCUUUAGUGCUGGUGACAUGAAAAAGACAUCCAAUUCAAGGUGUAAAGGGGCUAGCAUUAGGAAGGUGCUGGUGCAAUGUAAAAAGAAACCACCUGUGCUGGCACCAUGUAUAAAUACACUGAGAUCGUUGCCAGAGCAACAAGCUGGCCUCCAUGCCAAUGGUAUGUUAAAAACACCAUUCGAGUGUGAUCGUUACCUGUGUCGCCUUAUUAGCACUUGUGCUGGUGGCAUGUGAAAAAAACAUUCGAGUGAGGUCAUUGCCAGUGCUGCUGGACUAGCUCUUGGGCCAGUGGCACAUAAAAAGCAACAUUUGAGCGUGGCCAUUGCCAGUACCAGCACACUGGCCCUCGUGCCUGUGGCACGUAAAAGCACCCUCUACACUCUCGGAGUGGUUGGUGUUAGGAAGGGCAUCCAGCUGUAGAAACUCUGCCAGAUCAGAUUGGAGUCUGGUGCAGCCAUCUGGUUAGCCAGACCUCAGUCAAAUCGUCCAACCCAUGCUAGCAUGGAAAGCGGACGUUAAACGAUGAUGAUGAUGAUGAUGUUGAUGUCACAUAAAAGAGCAACCACUCUAGCAAUGCAUAAAAAUCCACCCAUGCCAGUGCCAUGUAAAAAUAUAGAUGUACUGGCGCCACCUAAAAAGCACCCAGUACACUCUGUGAACGGGUUGAUGUUAGGAAGAGCAUCCAGCCAUAGAACCCAUGCCAAAAUAGACAACUGGAGCCUGGUGUGGCCCUCUGGGUUGCUACCUCAUAUCAAACACUUCAACCCAUGCCAGCAUGGAAAACGGGUAUUAGAUGAUGAUGAUUAUGAUGAUGCUUAUGGAGAAUGAGAUUGGGUAAAAGAAGUGUCGAGCAAUCAAAGUGCAAAGGACCUGUAGAAUGAAGAUGUGAAAGAGGAAGACCAAAAAAGAAUGGGAAGAUAUGUCGAGAGCUGAUCUCAAGAGACAAUGCUGUGAAGGAGAUAACAAAGAGCUGCAGCAAAUAAUGGAAUUCUGUGCUAGAGGAGGCUCAUCCAACAUUAGUAAGCAUAGGAGUAGGAGUGGCUGUGUGGUAAGUAGCUUGCUAACCAACCACAUGGUUCCGGGUUCAGUCCCACUGCGUGGCACCUUGGGCAAGUGUCUUCUACUAUAGCCUUGGGUCGAUCAAAGCCUUGUGAGUGGAUUUCGUGGACGGAAACUGAAAGAAGCCUAUCGUAUAUAUAUAUGGCCUGCUCGCUUAGCCAGUGGGGUGGCGUCAUUCGAAGGUUAAAACAAUGCGAAUGCAUUGUGACCAGCGAUGUGUAGCAACAUCUGAUGGUCUGGUCGGUCACAUGAUCAUGUGAUAUAUAUAUAUAAAUAUAUAUAUAUAUAUAUGUGUGUGUUUGUGGUGUGUAGAUGCUUGUGUGUCUGUAUUUGUGCCCCCAGUAUCGCUUGACAACCAAUGCUGGUGUGUUUAUGCCCCCAUAAUUUCAUGGUUCGGCAAAAGAGACCGAUAGAAUAAGUACAAGGCUUACAAAGAAUAAGUCCUGAGGUCGAUUUGCUCGACUAAAGGCGGUGCUCCAGCAUGGCCACAGUCAAAUGACUGAAACAAGUAAAAGAAAGAAAAGAAAAAGAAAAGAAUAUAGGGAAAUGGACGUAAAAUAAUAGUGUUUCGAAUAGUGGUUUGCAUAUUUUAUGAACGACUUUAAAUCUACAUAAAUUUCCAUCUGUGCCUCGUUUGUAAUUAUUUACUUACAGAGAAUGUUAUGUGACGACUAAAUUUCAGACUGUCCUCAUGAUCCACAAUACCUCCAGUGUAGACUACUUGGGCAGAAGAUGGUUUGGAAUUCUUUGGUAACUUAAAAAGACGACAUGUAACAGCAGCAUACUUUAUGUUACCUGAAAAAUUAAAGAAUGAGAUAUAUUUUUAUUCUUGAAAUAAAAUCUAUUUUAUUCAGGGAUAAGCAAAUAAAUUUUUUGCAAAUGUUACCAAUUCCUUUGAAUGAGUUACCUAAAAAAUAGACAAACUAAAGACAAACCUCUAUGCAGUCAAUUUCCCUGCUAGAAAUAGUAACAAAAUAUCCCUCAAGUCACAUACUACCAUCUUAAACCUUUAGUAUUUGAACUGGUCAUACCGGGCUCAAAUAUUCUACCUAUCUCACAUUCAGAUUGACAGGAUCUGGCCUCUUACACCCACCCUAGUCAUAGAAACCAUGCCAAAACAGAUAAAUGGAGACUUGUGCAGCUCUCCAGCUGACCAGUUCUUGUCAAAAUGUCGAAUCCAUGCCAGCAUGGAAAAUGGACAUUAAAUGAUGAUGACCAUCAUCAUCAUGAUAAUCCCAUCUAACCCAUACAAGCAUAGAAAAGUGAGCAUUCAAACAAAAAUGAUCAUCAGGAAACAUUUUUUCACGCUGAGAGUUGCUGAAGCAUGGAACAAACUGCCGGCAUCAGUUGUUAGUUGUCAGAACACUGCAUCCUUCAAAACUUCCAUGCUUCCUGAGAUUCGCCAACACUACACCUGAUUUUCUCCCUCCAUACACACGCAAGCAUGUAUCUGACUCAUACACUGUUCACUUCCCAGACAUUUGUACAUACUGCAUAUGCCUUAUACACACUUUUGACAAGUUGUGGUGCACUUGAGCACUAUAUACAAUAAUUUCAUUAUUAUUAUUAUUAUCAUUUUUAGCCCUCAAAAGGAAAUGGGAUGUCACCCAGACAAGUCUGAUCAUUUUUUAAUACAUACACAAGAUUCUUGCUUUCUGCCUUUAACCCUCCAACGCAGAGUAUAGGCCACUUAUAAUUGAAUUCCAUGUCGCACAAUUUUUCGCAUCUGUACUUAUUCUCUGCCAUGAAUGUCGCCAUUUCUCUAGUUCCUUUUGUGUUGACCUACGCCACGAGUUCUUAGGCCUACCUCUCUUUCUAUAUCCAUCUGGAUUCCACUGUAAAGCACUUUUUGCUACAUUUGGUGCGUCUUUUCUAAUUAUGCUACUAAUCCACUUCCACUUUUUCUUAAAUAUUUGCUCCCUAAUCGAAACUUGAUUUAUUCUUUGCCAUAGCUCCAAAUUGCUUAUGUGUUCAGGCCAUCUAAUUUUAAGUAUACUACGCAAGCAUCUGUUGAUGAAUGAUUGUAUUUGCUUAUUUGACUUAACUGUUGUUCGCCAUGUCUCAGCCCCAUACAAUAACACCGCUUUUACGUUAGUGUUAAAAAUUCUUAUUUUGUUCUUUAUUGAAAUUACACUUGCGCUCCAUACUUUUUUUUAUGCAAGAUUAGACAGAGAAUAUCCUUCAAUUAAAUAAUGGAACAAAUCAAGUAGAAAUUAAUUGAGUAAAAAAUAAAUACAAUGAAAAAAGCUUUCUUACCAAUAAGUUUUUUGUAAUCUUCCCUUUCAACAGGAAUACGGGAAACGCUGACAAUAUGAACUUGACUAAAUCCAAUUUCUUGAGUUAGUUCUUGGAGUUGCUUCCAAUAAAGUGCCCCAGAAAGGCCUUCACCUUUGGAUUUAAAAAAAAUUUGGGUUUAUUGGAAAUUUAUAAAAGCAUCAGUGGAUAAAGCAGGUGAUACACCAAAAUGAAAGGAGACAUUAGUGAGUGAUGCACAAAACACAAAACAAAGUAUAAUUAAAUAUCCUUUUGUAAUUUUCGCACAAAGCCAGCAAUAUGGGGGAGGAGGUAAGUUGAUUACAUCAACCCCAGUACUCAACUGGUACUUAUUGUAUCGACCCCUGAAAGGAUGAAAGGCGAAGUCAGACUUGACAGAAUUUGAACUCAGAACAUAAAGAUGCACAAAAUACCAGACUAAGCGUUUCUAUUUUAAUUCAGAACUUAUGAAAACAAGAUGGUUUCAGUUGGGUUGGUAUUGAAAGAGUUAAUUUAUCGACCCUGAAAGGAUAAAUGGCAGUCAACGUCAACAGAAUUUGAACUCAGAACCUAAAAGUAGAUGAAAAACCACUACACAUUUUCCCAAGCCUGCUAAUGAUGCAGCCAGCUUACCACAUUAACCCUUUCGUUACCAACCCGGUUGAAACUGGCUCUGGCUCUGAGUACAAAUGUCUUGUUUUCAUAAGUUUUGUAUUAAAAUCUUCCACCAAACCUUAGUCACGAUUUAUGUUCCUAACACUAGCUUAAUGGUAACUAAGUUAUUUUACUAAAUUCUUGGUUAUAUUUAAAAUAAUUGAAAGAAACACACAGCAUCUCAACAGAAAUAUGGUAACAAAAGGGUUAACAAAUGAUUGAUUUAACCUUUUUGUUACCAACCCGGCUGAAACCGGCUCUGGCUCUGAGUACAAAUGUCUUGUUUUCAUAAGUUUUGUAUUAAAAUCUUCCACCAAACCUUAGUCACGAUUUAUGUUCCUAACACUAGCUGAAUAAUAACUAAGUUAUUUUACUAAAUUCUUUGUUAUAUUUAAAGUAAUUGAAAGAAACACAGAGCAUCUCAAAAUAAAUACAGUAAUGAAAGGGUUAAAGCCUAAUUAAAUAUUAACAAUCAAAAUAAAUUAACUAAUUUACAUAAUUACAAACUUUAACAUGAAAACUUAUUCAUUCCCUUCUUAUCCAAAUAUCAACUUUAUCUUUCUACUGAAGUAACAGGAAAUGACUAUUUUGGCACAGCAAAAUUUAGGUGCCAGUGAAUUGAUGUUGACUUAUUUGACAACAGACGUUUUAAUGUUUCUUUCAUUCCCUCUCUCCUUCUCUCACACUUUCUGAUUAUGUGUGAGCACAUUUCCCUAUGUGUGAGAAGAGAGGGAAAGUGUUUAUGUUGAUUGCAUUCAAUUUAUCUUUUACUCAUUUCAGUCAUUAGACUGUGGCCAUGCUGGGACACUGCCUUGAAGCAAUUUUAGUUAACAAAUCAACCCCAGUGCCCCACCCUUUUUUUUUAAUCUGGAACUUAUUUUAUUGGUCGUUUUUGCUGAACUGCUAAGUUACAGGAGCUUAAACACAUCCACACUGGUUGCCAAGCAAGGAAGUGGGAGGCAAACACACACACGUAUAUAUACACACACACACGUAUAUACACACAUAUGGUGAGCUUCUUUCACUUUCUGCUUGCCAAAUCUACUCACAAGCCUUUGGUCUGCCUGAGGCUAUAGUAGAAGACUUUGCCCAAGGUACCAUGCAGUGAGACUGAACCCAGAACCAUGCAGUUGGGAAGCUCCUUAUCACACAGCCACACCUGCAUCAUCAUUGCUUAACAGCUGUUUCCAUGCUGGCAUGGAUUGGAUGGUUUGACUGCAGAUUGGCAAGCCUGGAGACUGCACCAAGCUCUAAUCUGAUCUGGCAAUGUUUCUACAGAGGGUUGCCCUUCCUAAUGCCAACCACUCAGAGUGUAGUAGAUGCUUUUUACGUGCCACAAGUAUGGGAUGAAAUACUUAGCGGUAUUUUGUCUGCUGUUACGUUCUGAGUUCAAAUUCCACCAAGGUCAACUUUGCCUUUCAUUCUUUCGGGGUUCGAUUAAAUAAGUACCAGCUACGCACUGGGGUCAAUAUAAUUGACUUAAUCCGUUUGUCUGUCCUUGUUUGUCCCUUCUGUGUUUAGCCCCUUGUGGGUAGUAAAGAAAUAUGUAUUUCACCCAUCGCUACGUUCUGAGUUCAAAUUCCACCGAGGUCAACUUUGCCUUUCAUCCUUUUGGGGUUGAUUAAAUAAGUACCAGUUAUGCACUGGGGUCAAUGUAAUCGACUUAAUCCCUUUGUCUGUCCUUGUUUGUCCCCUCUAUGUUUAGCUCCUUGUGGGCAAUAAAGAAAUAACUGGCAUCAGCCACAUUCAGAUGGUGCUUUUUACAUGCUACCAGCACAGAAGCCAGCCAGAGCAAUGGGGCUGGCAUCAACCAUAUUUUGAUGGUAUUUUUUACAUGCCACUGGCACGGGGAGCCAGUCAGGCAGUACUGGCAAUGACCCAUGCAUGAAUGGUGCUAUUUCAAGGGGCUAAACAUAUAAGGGACAAACAAGGAUAGGUAUUAAGUUGAUUACAUCGAACCCAGUGCGUAACUGGUACUUUAUUUAUCGACCCCGAGAGGAUGAAAGGCAAAGUCGACCUCGGCGGAAUUUGAACACAGAAGGUAACGGCAGACGAAAUACCGCUAGGCAUUUCGCCCGACAUGCUAACGUUUCUGCCAGCUUGCCGCCUUCAUGCUUAUUGCACACCACCAGCACGGGAGCAUCUAUGUUAAUAAUAAAUUGUAAUGUCUCUCGCUCUUACACUCUUCUCUUUGUAUUUAUAUAUUUCUGCACAUGAGUGCAUGCAUAUGGUGUUCAUGAUGAUGACAGUAAAUAGAUAAUUAUGAGUUGCAUACUCUUUUACUUGUUUCAGCCAUUUGACUGCGCCCAUGCUGGAGCACCGCCUUUAGUCGAACAAAUCGACCCCGGGACUUAUACUUUGUAAGCCCAGUACUUAUUCUAUUGGUCUCUUUUGCCGAACCGCUAAGUGACGGGGACGUAAACACACCAGCAUCGGUUGUCAAGCAAUGCUAGGGGGACAAACACAGACACACAAACACAUACAUAUACAUACAUAUACAUAUAUAUGACAGGCUUCUUUCAGUUUCUGUCUACCAAAUCCACUCACAAGGUUUUGGUCGGCCCGACGCUAUAACAGAAGACACUUGCCCAAUGGUGCCACGCAGUGGGACUGAACCUGGAACCAUGUGGUUGGUUAGCAAGCUACUUACCACACAGCCACUCCUGUGCCUACAUGAUUAAGAAUGAGAAAUAAAAAUGAAUGAAUGAAAGAAAGAAAGAAAUACAAACCCCAGAGUUCCUUAUUUGUGCGUAUAUCAGCAGGAACCUCUUGGUCAGCAUACAUAUCACUGAAGUAUAGUUCGCCGCCUUCCUAACAGUUCAGAGAUGAAUAAUUUAAAAAUCAUUUGUUACCAGAACAAGCAAAAAUAUGCCAAUGCAUUACAAUGAAAAGCCAAAAUCAAUAAUACCUGAAACUGGUUAUAAGAUCACAUAUAGUCUGGCCUGAUGGCCUGACAUCCCCAUACAGGAGUGAAAAUGAUGGUCAUUGGGAGGUACUGAAUUUUCCUGUUCCAGUUAUAAAUCAUUACUUUAGAAUACUUUUUUUCUAUUUUGAUUCCCAAUAGGCGUAGGAGUGGCUGUGUGGUAAGUAGCUUGCUUACCAACCACAUGGUUCCGGGUUCAGUCCCACUGCGUAGUACCAUGGGCAAGUGUUUUCUACUAUAGCCUCGGGCCGACCAAAGCCUUGUGAGUGGAUUUGGUAGACGGAAACUGAAAGAAACCCAUCAUAUAUAUGUAUAUGUUUGUGUGUCUGUGUUUGUCCCCCCAACAUCACUUGACAACUGAUGCUGGUGUGUUUAUGUUCCUGUAACUUAGCGGUUUGGCAAAAGAGACUGAUAGAAUAAGUACUAGGCUUACAAAGAAUAAGUCCUGGGAUCGAUUUGCUUGACUAAAGGUGGUGCUCCAGCAUGGCCACAGUCAAAUGACUGAAACAAGUAGAAGAGUAAUAGAGUAAUGAUAUGGUUUUGAAUUUAAUCCCAUUACAUGACAACUUGAGCAAGUAUUUUCUACUAUAGCCUCAGAUCAGCCAAAACUUUGUGAACGGAUUAGAGUAUAAGAAAACUAAAAGAAGCCCAUUAUAUACAUAUGUAUAAAUAUAUGUAAAUCUAAGAUCCAAGGAUCAAGGUGUAGGAAGAAAGUAAGCUUCAAGCAAUCUGUAGUAAAUAUAAAAAAAACAACUUUCAGGAACAAAAGUGGUUUAUUGAGAUGGAAGGUUGUAGAUUGUUUUCUUGUCAAAGUAUCAUCAUCAUCAUCGUUUAACGUCCGUUUUCCAUGCUAGCAUGGGUUGGACGAUAUGACUGAGGACCGGCGAACCAGAUGGCUGCACCAGGCUCCAAUCUGAUCUGGCAGAGUUUCUACAGCUGGAUGCCCUUCCCAAUGCCAACCACUCUGAAAGUGUAGUGGGUGUUUUUACAUGCCACCGGCACGAGGGCCAGUCAGGCGGUACUGGCAACGAUCAUGCUUGGAUGGUGCUCUUAGCGCUCCACUUGCACAGAUGCCAGAUAAAUUGAAAAAAGUCCUUUUUUUAUAUUUCACGGAAGGCAACAAGGGCUGCUGGGUAUAUGAAUAAGAAUACAAGAGUAAAGGGAUGGAGUAGAUAAGAUCUGGGCUACAUAUGUUUCAUAGCAAGUGGAACCUCAGAAGUGGUAAAUAUCCGAGUGAAGUGUAUACUGCAGGCCACUCUUCAGGCCAAGGAUAUCUUGAUUAAAUGAAAGUUUACAUUGUCGCAAGGAGGUACAUGUUGAUGCAUGGAAAAUUCAAUCAGAAUAUAUAGAGAGCACAGAAGGAGUGGAGAAUAUACAUGUGGCACAUAAAAAGCACCAUUCGAGCAUGAUCGUUACCUGCGUUGCCUUACUGGCACUUGUGCUGGUGGCACAUGAAAAAACAUUUGAGUGAGUUCAUUGUUGGUUUAAUAUAUAGUGAUAGUGAGGGUAAAGAAGAGGGAAAAUUUAUGAAGGUUAAGGGGAAAAGGCAGGGUGGGGUUGCUGUUAUUUGCAUUUAGAGAAAAAAUUUAGCGACCAAUGUUUGCAGGUAAAAAUUAUGCUGUUGCGUUCAUUAAGACGAUCCACGGAUUGCAAAAUAGCCAAGACUUCGGCUAUGCAGUAAUCACACUUAUUACAGCAGCUGUAUGGUUUGGCGUAGGCGACUAUGGACCACUUGAGAGUGUAAGAAGUUGAAUCAAUCUUUUAGUUCAAUGAUAAGCUGAGAUAACGAUGUACUGUUGGAUUUUGUUUGGGACUUGAAACUUGGAGUAGUGGUUGCUCACUCUAACUUUGAAGGUCAUGCUGCAUGAUCUGAUAUGAAUGUACUGACAGUUGGCAGCUGAAACUGUACACUUGUAAACUAUUUUUUUUUUUUGUGAGACAGCGAUUAUAUAAAGAACAAGAGGUUGGGCAUCUGAAAUUGCAUAGGUUUAGACGGGGUGUCUGUGUUUGUCCCCUACCACCACUUGACAAUUAGUGUUGGCGUGCUUAUGUGCUCUUAACUUAGUGGUACAGCAAAAGUAAGUCACUGAGAUCAGUUCAUUCAAUUAAAAAAGGUGAUGCUCCAGCAUGGCCACAGUCUAAUGCUUGAAACAAGUAAAAGAUAGGCGCAGGAGUGGCUGUGUGGUAAGUAGCUUGCUUACCAACCACAUGGUUCCGGGUUCAGUCCCACUGCAUGGCACCUUGGGCAAGUGUCUUCUGCUACAGCCCCGGGCCGACCAAUGCCUUGUGAGUGGAUUUGGUAGACGGAAACUGAAAGAAGCCUGUCGUAUAUAUGUAUAUAUAUAUAUGUAUAUGUGUAUGUGUUUGUCCCCCUAGCAUUGCUUGACAACUGAUGCUGGUGUGUUUACAUCCCCGUCACUUAGCGGUUCGGCAAAAGAGUCCGAUAGAGUAAGUACUGGGCUUACAAAGAAUACGUCCCGUGGGUCGAUUUGCUCGACUAAAGGCGGUGCUCCAGCAUGGCCACGGUCAAAUUACUGAAACAAGUAAAAGAGUAAAGGAUAAUGUAAGACAUCACUUCAUACCUACUGGUGCGACUGUAUGCAUAUGUGCACAUCUAUAUAUCUGCAUAUACAAAUAUCUGCAUGUAUGUGUGUGUAUGUAUGUAUAUGUGUAGAUGAGAGUAUAUGUUUAUAUGAAUAUAUAUAUAUAUAUAUAUAAAUAUAUAGGCAUAGGAGUGACUGUGUGGUAAGUAGCUUGCUUAUGAACCACGUUGUUCUGGGUUCAGUCCCACUGUGUGGCACCUUGGGCAAGUAUCUUCUACUAUAGCCUCGGGCCCACCAAAGCCUUGUGAGUGGAUUUGGCAGACGGAAACUGAAAGAAGCCCAUCGUAUAUAUAUGUAUAUAUAUAUAUAUAUAUAUAUAUGACGACGAUGAUGAUGAGAUAUAUAUAUAUAUAUAUAUAUAUAUACAUACACGCACACACAUAUACAUGUGUGUGUUUGUCCCCCCAACAUCGCUUGACAACCGACGCUGGUGUGUUUACAUCCCCCGUAACUUAGCAGUUCAGUAAAAGUGACUGAUAGAACAAGUACUAGGUUUACAAAGAAUAAGUCCUGGGGUCGAUUUGCUCGACUAAAGACGGUGCUCCAGCAUGGCCACAGUCAAAUGAUUGAAACAAGUAAAAGAAUAAAAGAGUAAUGAUAUGGUUUCGAAUUUAAUCCCAUUACAUGACAACUUGUGCAAGUGUUUUCUACUAUAGCCUCAGAUCAGCCAAAACUUUGUGAAUGGAUUAGAGCAGAGGAAAACUAAAAGAAGCCCAUUAUAUACAUAUGUAUAAAUCUAUGUAAAUCUAAGAUCCAAGGAUCAAGGUGUAGGAAGAAAGUAAGCUUGAAGCAAUCUGUAGUAAAUAUAAAAAAAAAUAACUUUCAGGAACAAAAGUGGUUUAUUGAGAUGGAAGGUUGUAGAUUUUUUUCCUUCUCAAAGCAUCAUCAUCAUCAUCGUUUAACGUCCGCUUUCCAUGCUAGCAUGGGUUGGACGAUUUGACUGAGGACCGGCGAACCAGAUGGCUGCACCAGGCUCCAAUCUGAUCUGGUAGAGUUUCUACAGCUGGAUGCCCUUCCCAAUGCCAACCACUCUGAGAGUGUAGUGGGUGUUGGCACAAGGGCCAGUCAGGCGGUACUGGCAAUGGCCACACUCAAAUGGUGCUUUUACAUGCCACCUGCACAGAAGCCAGUCCAGCGACACUGGCAACGACCUUGCUCAAAUGUUUUUUCCCGUGCCACUGGCACAAGUGCCAUAAGGCAACGCUGGUAACGAUCACUCUCAAAUGGUGCUUUUUACGUGCCACCAGCACGGAAGCCAGUUUGCUGCUCUGGCAACGAUCAUGCUUGGAUGGUGGUCUUAGCGCUCCACUUGCACAGAUGCCAGAUAAAUUGAAAAAAGUCCUUUUUUUAUAUUUCACGGAAGGCAACAAGGGCUGCUGGGUAUAUGAAUAAGAAUACAAGAGUAAAGGGAUGGAGUAGAUAAGAUCUGGGCUACAUAUGUUUCAUAGCAAGUGGAACCUCAGAAGUGGUAAAUAUCCGAGUGAAGUGUAUACUGCAGGCCACUCUUCAGGCCAAGGAUAUCUUGAUUAAAUGAAAGUUUACAUUGUCGCAAGGAGGUACAUGUUGAUGCAUGGAAAAUUCAAUCAGAAUAUAUAGAGAGCACAGAAGGAGUGGAGAAUAUACAUGUGGCACAUAAAAAGCACCAUUCGAGCAUGAUCGUUACCUGUGUUGCCUUACUGGCACUUGUGCUGGUGGCACAUGAAAAAACAUUUGAGUGAGUUCAUUGUUGGUUUAAUAUAUAGUGAUAGUGAGGGUAAAGAAGAGGGAAAAUUUGUGAAGGUUAAGGGGAGAAGGCAGGGUGGGGUUGCUGUUAUUUGCAUUUAGAGAAAAAAAUUUAGCGACCAAUGUUUGCAGGUAAAAAUUAUGCUGUUGCGUUCAUUAAGACGAUCCACGGAUUGCAAAAUAGCCAAGACCUCGGCUAUGCAGUGAUCACACUUAUUACAGCAGCUGUAUGGUUUGGCGUAGGCGACUAUGGACCACUUGAGAGUGUAAGAAGUUGAAUCAAUCUUUUAGUUCAAUGAUAAGCUGAGAUAACGAUGUACUGUUGGAUUUUGUUUGGGACUUGAAACUUGGAGUAGCGGUUGCUCACUCUAACUUUGAAGGUCAUGCUGCAUGAUCUGAUAUGAAUGUACUGACAGUUGGCAGCUGAAACUGUACACUUGUAAACUAUUUUUUUUUUUUGUGAGACAGCGAUUAUAUAAAGAACAAGAGGUUGGGCAUCUGAAAUUGCAUAGGUUUAGACGGGGUGUCUGUGUUUGUCCCCUACCACCACUUGACAAUUAGUGUUGGCGUGCUUAUGUGCUCUUAACUUAGUGGUACAGCAAAAGGGACCAAUAUAUUAAGAACCGGACUUAAAAGAAGAAAGUAAGUCACUGAGAUCAGUUCAUUCAAUUAAAAAAGGUGAUGCUCCAGCAUGGCCACAGUCUAAUGCUUGAAACAAGUAAAAGAUAGGCGCAGGAGUGGCUGUGUGGUAAGUAGCUUGCUUACCAACCACAUGGUUCCGGGUUCAGUCCCACUGCAUGGCACCUUGGGCAAGUGUCUUCUGCUACAGCCCCGGGCCGACCAAUGCCUUGUGAGUGGAUUUGGUAGACGGAAACUGAAAGAAGCCUGUCGUAUAUAUGUAUAUAUAUAUAUGUAUAUGUGUAUGUGUUUGUCCCCCUAGCAUUGCUUGACAACUGAUGCUGGUGUGUUUACAUCCCCGUCACUUAGCGGUUCGGCAAAAGAGUCCGAUAGAGUAAGUACUGGGCUUACAAAGAAUACGUCCCGUGGGUCGAUUUGCUCGACUAAAGGCGGUGCUCCAGCAUGGCCACGGUCAAAUUACUGAAACAAGUAAAAGAGUAAAGGAUAAUGUAAGACAUCACUUCAUACCUACUGGUGCGACUGUAUGCAUAUGUGCACAUCUAUAUAUCUGCAUAUACAAAUAUCUGCAUGUAUGUGUGUGUAUGUAUGUAUAUGUGUAGAUGAGAGUAUAUGUUUAUAUGAAUAUAUAUAUAUAUAUAUAUAAAUAUAUAGGCAUAGGAGUGACUGUGUGGUAAGUAGCUUGCUUAUGAACCACGUUGUUCUGGGUUCAGUCCCACUGUGUGGCACCUUGGGCAAGUAUCUUCUACUAUAGCCUCGGGCCCACCAAAGCCUUGUGAGUGGAUUUGGCAGACGGAAACUGAAAGAAGCCCAUCGUAUAUAUAUGUAUAUAUAUAUAUAUAUAUAUAUAUCAUAUGAUGAUGAGAUAUAUAUAUAUAUAUAUAUAUAUAUACAUACACGCACACACAUAUACAUGUGUGUGUUUGUCCCCCCAACAUCGCUUGACAACCGAUGCUGGUGUGUUUACAUCCCCCGUAACUUAGCAGUUCAGUAAAAGUGACUGAUAGAACAAGUACUAGGUUUACAAAGAAUAAGUCCUGGGAUCGAUUUGCUCGACUAAAGGUGGUGCUCCAGCAUGGCCACAGUCAAAUGACUGAAACAAGUAAAAGAAUAAAGAGUAAUGAUAUGGUUUCGAAUUUAAUCCCAUUACAUGACAACUUGUGCAAGUGUUUUCUACUAUAGCCUCAGAUCAGCCAAAACUUUGUGAAUGGAUUAGAGUAUAAGAAAACUAAAAGAAGCCCAUUAUAUACAUAUGUAUAAAUAUAUGUAAAUCUAAGAUCCAAGGAUCAAGGUGUAGGAAGAAAGUAAGCUUGAAGCAAUCUGUAGUAAAUAUAAAAAAAAUAACUUUCAGGAACAAAAGUGGUUUAUUGAGAUGGAAGGUUGUAGAUUGUUUUCCUUGUCAAAGUAUCAUCAUCAUCAUCGUUUAACGUCCGUUUUCCAUGCUAGCAUGGGUUGGACGAUAUGACUGAGGACCGGCGAACCAGAUGGCUGCACCAGGCUCCAAUCUGAUCUGGCAGAGUUUCUACAGCUGGAUGCCCUUCCCAAUGCCAACCACUCUGAGAGUGUAGUGGGUGUUGGCACGAGGGCCAGUCAGGCGGUACUGGCAACGGCCACGCUCAAAUGGUGCUUUUACAUGCCACCUGCACAGAAGCCAGUCCAGCGACACUGGCAACGACCUUGCUCAAAUGUUUUUCCCGUGCCACUGGCACAAGUGCCAUAAGGCAACGCUGGUAACGAUCACUCUCAAAUGGUGCUUUUUACGUGCCACCAGCACGGAAGCCAGUUUGCUGCUCUGGCAACGAUCAUGCUUGGAUGGUGCUCUUAGCGCUCCACUUGCACAGAUGCCAGAUAAAUUGAAAAAAGUCCUUUUUUUAUAUUUCACGGAAGGCAACAAGGGCUGCUGGGUAUAUGAAUAAGAAUACAAGAGUAAAGGGAUGGAGUAGAUAAGAUCUGGGCUACAUAUGUUUCAUAGCAAGUGGAACCUCAGAAGUGGUAAAUAUCCGAGUGAAGUGUAUACUGCAGGCCACUCUUCAGGCCAAGGAUAUCUUGAUUAAAUGAAAGUUUACAUUGUCGCAAGGAGGUACAUGUUGAUGCAUGGAAGAUUCAAUCGGAAUAUGUAGAGAGCACAGAAGGAGUGGAGAAUAUACAUGUGGCACAUAAAAAGCACCAUUCGAGCAUGAUCGUUACCUGUGUUGCCUUACUGGCACUUGUGCUGGUGGCACAUGAAAAAACAUUUGAGUGAGUUCAUUGUUGGUUUAAUAUAUAGUGAUAGUGAGGGUAAAGAAGAGGGAAAAUUUGUGAAGGUUAAGGGGAGAAGGCAGGGUGGGGUUGCUGUUAUUUGCAUUUAGAGAAAAAAUUUAGCGACCAAUGUUUGCAGGUAAAAAUUAUGCUGUUGCGUUCAUUAAGACGAUCCACGGAUUGCAAAAUAGCCAAGACCUCGGCUAUGCAGUGAUCACACUUAUUACAGCAGCUGUAUGGUUUGGCGUAGGCGACUAUGGACCACUUGAGAGUGUAAGAAGUUGAAUCAAUCUUUUAGUUCAAUGAUAAGCUGAGAUAACGAUGUUCUGUUGGAUUUUGUUUGGGACUUGAAACUUGGAGUAGCGGUUGCUCACUCUAACUUUGAAGGUCAUGCUGCAUGAUCUGAUAUGAAUGUACUGACAGUUGGCAGCUGAAACUGUACACUUGUAAACUAUUUUUUUUUUUGUGAGACAGCGAUUAUAUAAAGAACAAGAGGUUGGGCAUCUGAAAUUGCAUAGGUUUAGACGGGGUGUCUGUGUUUGUCCCCUACCACCACUUGACAAUUAGUGUUGGCGUGCUUAUGUGCUCUUAACUUAGUGGUACAGCAAAAGGGACCAAUAUAUUAAGAACCGGACUUAAAAGAAGAAAGUAAGUCACUGAGAUCAGUUCAUUCAAUUAAAAAAGGUGAUGCUCCAGCAUGGCCACAGUCUAAUGCUUGAAACAAGUAAAAGAUAGGCGCAGGAGUGGCUGUGUGGUAAGUAGCUUGCUUACCAACCACAUGGUUCCGGGUUCAGUCCCACUGCAUGGCACCUUGGGCAAGUGUCUUCUGCUACAGCCCCGGGCCGACCAAUGCCUUGUGAGUGGAUUUGGUAGACGGAAACUGAAAGAAGCCUGUUCGUAUAUAUGUAUAUAUAUAUAUGUAUGUGUGUGUGUUUGUGUUUGUCCCCCUAGCAUUGCUUGACAACUGAUGCUGGUGUGUUUACAUCCCCGUCACUUAGCAGUUCGGCAAAAGAGUCCGAUAGAAUAAAGUACUGGGCUUACAAAGAAUAAGUCCCGUGGGUCGAUUUUGCUCGACUAAAGGCGGUGCUCCAGCAUGGCCGCAGUCAAAUGACUGAAACAUGUAAAAGAGUAAAGAGUAAUAUACGACACAUCUCUUCAUACGUACUUGGUGUGACUGUAUGCAUAUGUGCACAUCUAUAUAUCUGUAUAUACAAAUAUCUGCAUGUAUGUGUGUGUAUGUAUGUAUGUAUGUAUAUAUGUAGAUGACAGUAUAUGUUUAUAUGAAUAUAUAUAUAUAUAUAUAUAUAUAUAUAUAUAUAUAUAUAAAUAUUUAUAGGCAUAGGAGUGACUGUGUGGUAAGUAGCUUGCUUAUGAACCACGUCAUUCUGGGUUCAGUCCCACUGUGUGGCACCUUGGGCAAGUGUCUUCUACUAUAGUCUUGGGCCCACCAAAGCCUUGUGAGUGGAUUUGGCAGACGGAAACUGAAAGAAGCCCACCAUAUAUAUAUGUAUGUGAAUAUAUAUAUAUAUAUAUAUAUAUAUAUAUAUAUAUAUGACGACGAUGAUGAUGAGAUAUAUAUAUAUAUAUAUAUAUAUAUACACAUACACACACAUAUAUAUGUGUGUGUUUGUCGUUGACACCCCCCUGAUAGAACAAGUACUAGGUUUACAAAGAAUAAGUCCUGGGGUCGAUUUGCUCGACUAAAGACGGUGCUCCAGCAUGGCCACAGUCAAAUGACUGAAACAAGUAAAAGAGUAAAAAGAGAGUGUAUAUACACACACACACACACACACACACACACACACAUAUACUCUUUUAUUCUUUUACUUGUUUCAGUCAUUUGACUGUGGCCAUGCUGGAGCACUGCCUUUAGUCGUGCAAAUCGACCCCGGGACUUAUUCUUUGUAAGCCCAGUACUUAUUCUAUCGGUCUCUUUGCUGAACCGCUAAGUGAUGGGGACAUAAACACACCAGCAUCGGUUGUCAAGCAAUGCUAGGGGGACAAACACAGACACACAAACACACACAUACAUACAUACAUAUAUAUACAUAUACAUAUAUACGACAGGCUUCUUUCAGUUUCCGUCUACCAAAUCCACUCACAAGGCAUUGGUCGGCCCGGGGCUAUAGCAGAAUACACUUGUCCAAGAUGUCACGCAGUGGGACUGAACCCGGAACCAUGUGGUUGGUUAGCAAGCUACUUACCACACAGCCACUCCUGCUGUAUUUAUAUAUAAAAUCAGUAAUACUGGUUUAUGACCUUGUUUCUAAGUAACCUGCUUGUCCCUUUGACCUUGGCUUAAAAUUGCUAAGCUGGGAAUGAGUACAUGUAAUAUUCUUCUCCUUCCUCUCUCUGCUCUUUCCAAACGUCUGGCACUUCUUGACUAUGGUUAAUUUUAUCUCUCACUCUUUGUAACUAAAAUGCUUCAUUGCUAUAUCAUAAUUAUUACUAUUUUUUCCUUUAUAGUUUACUUUUUAUAAUUAUUAUUAUUCGCCCGGCGUUGCUCGGGUUUGUAAGGGAAAUAACUGUAUAAGCAUUUUUAGAGAGUUAUAGCCAAAAAGUAGCAAAAAAAAUGCAUUAAAAAUGGGAAAAAAAUGAUGGUAAAUUUUUUUUUAAAUCGUUGACUCAUCGUAGACAUUUUUAGAGAGUUACUUCCCUUAUAUAAUAGCGAAAAAAAUGCAUUAAAAUGGAAAAAAAUUAUGGUAAAUUUCUUUUCAAAUCAUAGACUCAUCGUAGACGCACGCUAAUACCCAGAAGGGCUCCAUAUGAAUCACGACUAUAAGAUACCCGGUUUUGGUUAAACUGCACCGCAAAAUGUGGGAGUAGUUAGGAAUCUAAAUCGUAGGAGACAGACACACAACUUGACUUUUAUAUAUAAAGAUUUACAAUAAUAAUAAAGGACGUUAGCAUAUACAGUUUUACAAACCUAGGACGUUAUAUAGACCUCCCUGACUCAAGUUAGAGAAGGGAUACGUAUUAUACACAAGGUUUAGGUUUUUCAGAAGUACCGCCCCCUUUAUAGUUUACUUUUUAUAAUUAUUAUUAUUCCAUUUCUUUGUCUUACAUAAUGUCUUUCAUUUCUUUUUAAAUAUUUUUUCUGCACUCAAUCAAAAGCUAAAGCUAUAUUCUGCUCCUAGUUUUUCUAUAUACUCUUUUACUUGUUUCAGUCAUUUGACUGUGGCCAUGCUGGAACACCGCCUUUAGUCGAGGCAAAUCGACCCAGGACUUGUUCUUUGUAAGCCUAGUACUUAUUCUAUUGCUCUCUUUUGCUGAACCGCUAAGUUACAGGAGAUGUAAACACACCAGCAUCGGUUGUCAAGCGAUUUUGUGGGGACAAGCACAGACACACAAACAUAUACACACACAUAUACAUAUAUAUAUAUAUAUAUAUAUAUAUAUAUAUAUACAAUGGGCUUCUUUUAGUUUUCAUCAUCCAAAUCCACUCUCAAGGCCUUAGUUGGCCCUGGUCUAUAGUAGAAGACAUCUGCCCAGAGUGUUACACAGUGGAACUGAACCCAGAACCAUGUGGUUGAGAAGAAAACUUCUUACUACACAGCCAUGCCUAUAACUGUUUGAAAAACAUACAAAUAGAUUCCAUUUUGGUUUAAAUGUAAAAAAAUUUGUUCCUGAUUUCAGUUACCGUAAAUCCUCGAGUAUAGUCAGCUCUUGAGUAUAAUACGCAGGGGAUUUUUAGGGGUCUGUACCUCUGAAAAACCUAAACCUUGUGUAUAAUAAGCACCCCUUCUCUAACUAGAGUCAAUGAAGUCUAUAUAACAUCCUUGGUUUGUAAAAAUGUAUACGGUAACGUCCUUUAUUAUUAUUGUAUAUAUAACAUAAUGCGAACGUGUAGCUUUUUUGUGCAUUUUACUCUUUUACUUGUUUCAGUCAUUUUGACUGCGGCCAUGCUGGAGCACCGCCUUUUAGUCGAGCAAAUCAACCCCGGGACUUAUUCUUUGUAAGCCCAGUACUUAUUCUAUCGGUCUCUUUUGCCGAACCGUUAAGUGACGGGGACGUAAACACACCAGCAUCGGUUGUCAAGCAAUGCUAGGGGGACAAACACAUACACACACAUAUAUAUAUAUAUAUAUAUACAUAUAUACGACAGGCUUCUUUCAGUUUCCGUCUACCAAAUCCACUCAUAAGGCAUUGGUCGGCCCGGAGCUAUAGCAGAAGACACUUGCCCAAGAUGCCACGAAGUGGGACUGAACCCGGAACCCUGUGGUUGGUUAGCAAGCUACUUACCACACAGCCACUCCUGCGCCUAUUUUGUUUGCAGAAAAUAAAGAAAUAACAGUAAUAACGAUUAAUAAAUAUUAGUUACUGCAAGUUUUGGAUGAUCCUUUUAUGACUUCAUUGCUUUCAGGCUUAGCUUAAGGUAUUUUCGCGCCCUACUUCACAAAAUGCGUCUGAAUAAACAUUGCCGGACAGCAAAUAGAGACUCGGACAUUGCUUAGAAAAUAAUUUUCAUUUUUAACCUCGUAUAUAAUAUGCAACUAGGGAUUUUGACCGUUAAAUUUUGGGAAGAAAAAUGCAGAUUAUACUUGAGGAUUUACAGUAAACAAAAAAAAAUAAUUUUUUUAAAUAAAGGUAAAAACUCACUUUUAGAAUCUUAUAAGCUUGUGCCAACACUGCUUUUUUGUCAGCUGACAAGUUGAUAACACAGUUGGAGCUAAAAUUAAAACAUAAAAAAACAAAAAGAAUUCUGUUUAGGCUGGCAUAUAUUGUUUAUAUUACAGUUUGUGAAUUAUUAAUGUUUUAGCUUCACUUAUAUCAAUUCAGCAUAUUUACUGAAAGUAUACACAUCUUCUUUGCCAUUGGGACAAUACCUUUUCUAUUUUGUUUGCUGGGGCCAUGAGAAAUGUUUCUUAAUGAAGAUAUAUAUAUAUAAAAAAAAAACUGUCACCUCAUAAGUAUAGACAAUACUUUUAUGAUACAAAGCACUAUAAAUAAUAAUAAAUGUGCCCUUUAUUGCCAGGCUCAUGGGCCCGGUUUCCUGGUUUCUAUGGCGUAUGUGUUCCGCAGCUGAAUGGGACGCCAGUCCAUCGCAGUGUUACUCAUUUUUGCCAGCUGAGUGGACUGGAGCAACGUGAAAUGAAGUGUUUUGCUCAAGAACACAAUGCGUCGCCUGGUCCAGGAAUCGAAACCACAAUCUUACGUUCAUGAUGCUGACACCCUAACCACCAAGCCACACACUUCCACACAAAUCACUAUAAUUAAGAUAAUUAUAAAUUAUUUAUUUCUCCAUAUAUGCAUAUGUAGUGGGGUUGGUUGCUCUGAGAGUGUAGCAACUAGAGUAAGAACAGCCUGGACAAAGUUCAGGGAGCUCCUACUUCUGCUAGUAACUAAGGGCCUCUCACUCAGGGUGAAAGGUAUGAUAUAUGUGUGUGAACUGCCAUGCUACAUGGCAGUGAAACAUGGGCCAUAAAUGCUGAAUACAUGCGUAAGCUUGAAAGAAAUGCAACUAGAUGUAUAAUGUCAGUGUGCACACAUGACAGAGUGUAAGCACCCUGAGAGAAAAGCUGGCAUAAGAAGCAUCAAAUGUGGUGUGCACAAGAGGUGACUGCGCAGGUAUGGCCAUGUGUUACAUAUGAAUGAAGACAGCUGUCAGGAUACCAACAUCAAAGAUCAAUGGAAACUGCAGUUAUGAAACCUGUGCCGGUGGCACGUAAAAAGCACCAUCCGAAUCGUAGCCGAUGCCAGCGCCACCUAGACUGGCUUCCGUGUCGGUGGCAUGUAAAAAGCACCAAUACGAUCGUGGCUGAUGCCAGCCUCGCCUGGCACCUGUGAUGGUGGCAUGUAAAAAGCACCCACUACACUCUUGGAGUGGUUGGCGUUAGGAAGGGCAUCCAGCUGUAGAAACACUGCCAGAUCAGACUGGAGCCUGGUGUAGCCUUCUGGCUUCCCAGAUCCCCGGUCAAACCGUCCAACCCAUGCCAGCAUGGAAAGUGGACGUUAAAUGAUGAUGACGAUGACAGCUGUGUGAGGAAGUGCCACUCCUAACUGUUGAAGGAACUUUUGGAAGAGGUAGACCCAGGAAGACAUGGGAUGAGAUGGUGAAGCAUGACUUUCGAACACUGGGCCUCAUAGAGGCACAGGAGUGGCUGUGUGGUAAGUAGCUUGCUUACCAACCACAUGGUUCUGGGUUCAGUCCCACUGCGUGGCAUCUUGGGCAAGUGUCUUCUGCUAUAGCCCUGGGCCCACCAAUGCCUUGUGAGUGGAUUUGGUAGGCGGAAACUGAAAGAAGCCUGUCGUAUAUAUGUAUAUAUAUAUAUAUAUGCGUCUGUGUGUUUGUGUACGUGUGUUUGUCUCCCUAGCAUUGCUUGACAACCGAUGCUGGUGUGUUUACGUCCCCGUUACUUAGCGGUUCGGCAAAAGAGACCGAUAGAAUAAGUACUGGGCUUACAAAGAAUAAGUCCCGGGGUCGAUUUGCUCGACUAAAGGCGGUGCUCCAGCAUGGCCGCAGUCAAAUGACUGAAACAAGUAAGAGUAAAGAGAGUAUGAUGGGUAUAUAAGCAGUAUUUUAGCAGAGAAAUUGCCCAUGUCCACUAUCCAUUCCUCACCCAACUACACACCACAUGCACUUGGUAAAUCUUUAACAUUAUCAUUUCCCUCUUCAACCAGUCUCAUCUCCUGGCACAAAAACCCCAGCAAAUGAAAAAGUGCUUUCAAUCACUUCAACUCAUCAAGGUCACGAAGCCUGACAAUGUCCUUGCCUUUACAUUCAAAGCAUGUACCCCAUCAAAUUUUUCAGUGUACACACAAACACACACACACACACACACACACACACAACACAUAUCAUGUAAACAACAUCCAAUGAAAGAUGAGCUUUAUGGAAAUACCUCCAACAGACACCCAUAAAAUUAUCAACCAUCGUACAAACAAUAACUCUGAGCACCUUUUCAAACUCCACUCAUCUAACACCCGUGGACAUAUUUACAAAGUAAGAAAACAGCACAGCUCCCAUGACUUCAGGAAACAUUUUUUCACGCUGAGAGUUGCUGAAGCAUGGAACAAACUGCUGGCAUCAGUUGUUAGUUGUCGGAGCACUGCAUCCUUCAAUACUUCCAUGCUUCCUGAGAUUCGCCAACACUACACCUAAUUUUCUCCCCUCCAUACACACGCAUGCAUGUAUCUGACUCAUACAUUGUUCGCUUUCCAGACAUUUCUACAUUACUGCAUGUACUUUAUAUGCACUUUCUGACAAGUUGUGGUGCACCUGAGCACUGUAUACAAUAAUUUCAUUAUUCAUCAUCAUCAUCAUCAUCGUCGUUUAGCGUCCGUUUUCCAUGCUAGCAUGGGUUGGACGGUUCUACUGGGGUCUGUGAAGCCAGAAGGCUUCAUCAGGCCCAGUCAAAUCUGGCAGUGUUUCUACGGCUGGAUGCCCUUCCUAACGCCAACCACUCCGUGAGUGUAGUGGGUGCUUUUUACAUGCCACCCGCACAGGUGCCAGACAGAGCUGGCAAACGGCCACGAACAGAUGGUGCUUUUUAUGUGCCACCGGCACAAGGGCCAGGCGAGGCUGGCAACGGACACGAAACGGGGCGGUGCUGGCAACGGUCGCGAAACGGAAGGUUCUCUUACAUGCCACCGGCACUGGUAACACAUCUGCAAUUUCCAUUGAUCGAUUUCCAUUCUGAUCCUCACUUGCCUCAACGGGUCUUCACAAGUAGAGUUUCGACAUGCCACCGGCACUGGUAACACAUCUGCAAUUUCCAUUGAUCGAUUUCCAUUUCAUUAUUAUUAUUAUUAUUAUCAUUAUUUAUAUCAUCAAUCAUUCAUGAGCUGAGGACAAGAUAUAACGGUCACUGCUAUCGAAGCAAAGAUAAUUUAGGGAGUGAGCUCCUUUUGUGGAUCCUAAACCACAGGAAUUAUCAUAUUGGACAACCCAGAAUGACAUACAUUGAUCAACUCAUGUGAUGAUGAGUUACAUAUAUAUGUUUCUUUAUUACCCACAAGGGGCUAAACAUAGAGGGGACAAACAAGGACAGACAAACGGAUUAAGUCGAUUACAUCGACCCCAGUGCAUAACUGGUACUUAAUUUAUCGACCCUGAAAGGAUGAAAGGCAAAGUCGACUUCAGCAGAAUUUGAACUCAGAACGUAACGGCAGAUGAAAUACCUAUUUCUUUACUACCCACAAGGGGCUAAACAUAGAGGGGACAAACAAGGACAGACAAACAGAUUAAGUCGAUUACAUCGACCCCAGUGCAUAACUGGUACUUAAUUUAUCGACCCUGAAAGGAUGAAAGGCAAAGUCGACUUCGGCAGAAUUUGAACUCAGAACGUAACAGCAGAUGAAAUACAGCUACGUAUUUCGCCCAGCAUGCUAACAGUUCUGCCAGCUCACCGCCUUUUGAGUUACUCUCUUUUACUUGUUUCAGUCAUUUUGACUGCGGCCAUGCUGGAGCACCGCCUUUAGUUGAGCAAAUCGACCCCAGGACUUAUUCUUUGUAAGCCUAGUACUUAUUCUAUCGGUCUCUUUUUGCCGAACCGCUAAGUGACGGGGACGUAAACACACCAGUAUCGGUUGUCAAGCAAUGCUAGGGGGACAAACACAUACACACAAACACACACAUACAUAUAUAUAUAUAUAUAUACAUAUAUACGACAGGCUUCUUUCAGUUUCCGUCUACCAAAUCCACUCACAAGGUAUUGGUCGGCCCGGGGCUAUAGCAGAAGACACUUGCCCAAGAUGCCACGCAGUGGGACUGAACCCGGAACCAUGUGGUUGGUUAGCAAACUACUUACCACACAGCCACUCCUGCGCCUUUUGAGUUACAUAUAUAUGAUAUCAAAAUGUCGUGGAAGACGGGAAAUGGUUGGAGGGAAAGUGUGACUUUUUUUUUCAGGUAAUCCACCUGAAACAAGAGACAUGUGUAACAAAGAGUCACAGUAAUUUAUUACUGACUAUAUGUUGAACUCAAAUAAUUUAUUGUAAUUUCUGCCAAUCUGCAGCUAGGUCAAACAGCCAACAAGGAACACUUUCUAUUCAGGGCUAUAUAUAAACUUUGACAUAUAAAAUAAGGGUUACAGAAUCCCCUGUAAAUAUUAUUUUGGAAUACAAUUUUGAAUAUCUGAGUGUUACUUGUUUAUGAACCUUAACCAUACAAUGAAACCAAAAAUAUAAACAGAAUUUAUAGUGUAAUGAAUGCAAAAAGUCGAAAUAACAUUUACUACACAUCUUAAUAGUUUUCUGAUUAAGGACAUUACGCCCUUUCAUUCCCAAGUGUGAGAAAUUUCUCACAAUUGUUCACCUAUGAAAGCAAAAUUAAUGUCAGAGGAAAGACGUAUUCAAAAGAGUUUUUCAGCUUUUAUCAAAUGCUUCAUCAUCAUCAUCAUCAUCAUCUAAGCAUUUACAACACAAUUGACUAGUUAAUCAUUGGUUGUAUUCUGAAUCAGGUUACAUACCAUCAUCAUCGUUUAACAUCCGCUUUCCAUGCUGGCAUGGGUCGGACGGUUUGACUGAGGACUGGCAAUCAAGAAGGCUGCACCAGGCACCAAUCUGUUCUGGCAAGGUCUCUAUAGCUGGAUGCCCUUCCUAACGCCAACCACUCCGAGAGUGUAGUGGGUGCUUUUUAUGUUCCACUGGCACAGGGGCCAGUCAAGAGGCACUGACAUCAACAAGCUCAAAUGGUGCUUUUUAUGUGCCACCGGCACAGGAACCAGUCAGGUGGCACUGGCAUUGACCAUGCUCAAAUGGUGCUUUUUAUGUGCCACCGAAAGGGGUGCCAGUCAGGCGGCAUUGACAAUGGCCACGACAACGAUUUCACUUGACUCAACAGGUCUUCUCAUGCAGAGCAUAUUGCCUGACAACUGAAGCAUACUUUUAAAAGGGUCCUAAGGCCAACCACUCCAAGAGUGUAGUGGGUGCUUUUUAUGUGCCACACGUAUGAGGGCCAGUCAGGAGGUACUGGCAUCGACCAUGCUUGAAUGGUGCCGCCGUGCACAUGAAAUACUUUUAUCAGCUCAGGUGUAGCCAAGGGUUUGUGGCCCACAUCCUACACAUCAGUGAUCAAUUUGCCAUCACCUCCAACAACAGCCUGUUUUUAUCAUGAGCCUACCCCAUCAAGUUUACUCUUUUAUUAUAAGUCAACAUUUAACUCAGCUCUAAGCAACAACAACCACUCUACAGUUAGAUCAAACAGCCAGCAAAAGUAUCUUAACAAGGAACACUUUCUAUUCAGGGCUAUAUAUAAACUUUGACAUAUAAAAUAAGGGUUACAGAAUCCCCUGUAAAUAGUGUUUUAGAAUACAAUUUUGAAGUGAUAAAAAUAAAAGUUUAUAUACAUACAUAAUGAUGUCAAAAUAAUUUUCCUUGAGGCCUGCAUCAGUAAGGUGCUCAAUAUAGCCCUUAACAAAUUUAACAUUUGGGGUCUUGUAGUCAAAGAGUUUGGUGUGGUAGUCUAUAUACUGAUUAGCAAUAUCAAGCUGGAAUAAGGAGAAAAAAUAUAUGCAUAUGACAUUGAAAUUCAGGUGCAUUUAUGAAUAAUUUUACUUGUAAGUACCGUAAAUCCUCGAGUAUAGUCCGCCCUUCUAAACCUUGUGUAUAAUACGCAUCCCUUCUCUAACUUGAGUCAGGGAGGUCUAUAUAAUGUCCUAGGUUUGUAAAACUGUAUACGCUAACAUCCUUUAUUAUUAUUGUAAAUCUUUAUAUAUAAAAGUCAAGUUGUGUGUCUGUCUCCUACGAUUUAGAUUCCUAACUCCCCCCCCUUUAUGCGGUGCAGUUUAACCAAAACCAGGUAACUUAUAGUCGUGAUUCAUAUCGAGCCCUUCUGGGUAUUAGCGCGUGUCUACGAUGAGGCUACGAUUUUAAAAAAAAUUUACCAUCAUUUUUUUUCCAUUUUAAUGCAUUUUUUUCGCUAUUAUAUAAGGGAAGUAACUCUCUAAAAAUGUCUACGAUGAGUCAACGAUUUAAAAAAAAAUUUACCAUCAUUUUUUUUUCCAUUUUUAAUGCAUUUUUUUGCUAUUUUUUGGCUAUAACUCUCUAAAAAUGCUUAUAUAGUUAUUUCCCUUACAAACCCGAGCAACGCCGGGCGAUACUGCUAGUAUAACAUAAUACAAUUUCAGUCAUUACCCAAUAUUCAUGACCAUAGAUGAGAAUAGGCAUGGAAACUGAACUGAAGAUAACAAAUUUGUUUUUUUUUGUUUUUUUGGCAACAUCUACUCUUCUGAGGAUUGAAUGCUGGAGCAAGCACAUUACUGUGAAAGCAAUGGAGACUUGGCAUAGGACAACUGGCCACAUUCAGUAGCAUUGGGUCACUUGUUGAGGUUGUCUCUACAGAUUUUCUAUAGAAAUUAUAGCCAGCAUUGAUUGUGUUAUGUUUCAUAUCCAAGACGCCAGAUAUGAAAUGUUAAAACAAAUUCAGUGUUGGCUAUAAUUUCUAUACAAAAAUCUGUAGAGACAAUCUUAACAAGUGAUGUAAUAACACUGCUAACAUAGGAGAACACAGAACUCAUCAUCAUCAUCAUCGUUUAACGUCCGUUCUCCAUGCUAGCAUGGGUUGGAUGGUUCGACCGGGGAUCUGGGAAGCCAAAAGGCUGCACCAGGCUCCAGUCUUAUCUGGCAGUGUUUCUACAGCUGGAUGCCCUUCCUAACGCCAACCACUCCGUGAGUGUAGUGGGUGCUUUUUACGUGCCACCCGCACAGGUGCCAGGCGAGGCUGGCAACGGCCACGGUCGGAUUGGUGCAUUUUACGUGCCACCGGCACGGAAGCCAGUCGAGGCGGCACUGGCUUAUAAAAACGUUUAAUAGACUUUGUAGUACUGGGUUGUCCAGAAAGUUCAUGCCGAUUUAUAGUAGCUUACCUUUCGACUUAUUUUAGAACAUGGUUGAGUUCAUAAAAUAGGAUUUGACUACACCUCCAUUUAGACCACAGUUUAAGCUGUCUUUUCGUGGAAGAAGGUUUAUGUUCCUAUAACCUGUGUUAAUUCUGUAACCCUUUAAAAUGGAAGAUAAGAAAGUUCAUUUUUGGGAACCAGACAAAAAUUGCUGCAGCUCGGCUGGAAUGUGUUACCCCAUCCUCCAUAUUCACCAGAUAUUGCUCCUUCGGAUUUCCACUUAUUCAGGUCUCUGCAGAAUAGUCUUAAUGGUAAAAAUUUCAAUUCCUUGAACGAUGUAAAAAGACACCUUGAUGAAUUCUUUCCCAUGAAACCACCUCAAUUCUGGGAAGAGGGUAUUUUCAAGUUAAAGGAAAGAUGGAAACGCAUUGUGCAACAAAAUGGUUCAUAUUUGGUUGAUUAAUAAUGUAAUAGCAAGUAUUUAUUGACCUUUUUCUUUCCUUUAAAAAUCGGCACAAACUUUCCGGACAACCCAUUAUAUUAUAGUUGCAUAAUGAAAUAUCAUGUCCCUACAAGUUAUUAAUAGCAUUAGGACAUGUUCAGAGCACAUCAAAAAUAGUGCAGCAUUUUACAAAAUUUUUGCAAGAGUACAACUAAAACUGCCAAGUCCUAGAAAAAUAAAAGAAGAAUCUAGAAUUGUCUUACCUGUUCUUGUGUCAUAUCAACACCAACUAUAUAACCAUCAGCUCCAACCAGUUUUGAUAAUGCAAAACAAUCUUGUCCACUUCCACUUCCCAAAUCAAGGAUCUUCAUACCUUCCAGGCUUUCAGGAAUCACAAGUCCACAUCCAUAAUAUCUGAAUGAAAUACAUAUAUAUGUGUGUGUGAUUGUGUGCAUCUAUGUAUCUAUCUAUAUAAAUAUACAGGGAAGAUUUAUGUUUAUAAAAAAAACCAGAUAUACAAUGACAGAGAUUUAUGUUUAUAAAAAAAAAACAGAUAUACAAUGACAGAGAUUUAUGUUUAUAAAAAAAAACCAGAUAUACAAUGACAGAUAAUUUUAUCAAAAAAUACUAUGACGAUAACAAUAAACCUUCUUUUCUAUAAUGUUAUUCAAUAAAGCCACGUUCAGCUUCAACAACUGCUUCUAUAUGAGAUCUAAAUCAAGUGGUCCUGAUUCAUUUUGGACAUUACUCCGACUAUGGCAGCUUUCAAAGAAUCUUUGGUGUUAUGGGCGUAUUCAUUGAUCUCUCUUUCAACAAUGUUCCACAUGUAAUAGUCGAAUGGAUUGAGAUCUGGGGAAUUAGAAGGCCAAACGUUAGGGGUUAUGUGAUCAUAAAAAUUUUCAGCCAUCCAUUCCUGUGUUACUGGAGCCAUGCGUGAUAGUGCACAGUCUUACUAAAAUACACAUGGCCUUCCAUUGCAUACACUGUCUAUCCAGGGCUUAACAAUUAUUUCCAGGACCUCAAUGUAGGCAGUAGAGUUAACUCAAAGGCCUUCUGGAAAGAAGUAAGGAGGCAUCACAUGUCCUUCAUUGCUGACAACCCCUAAAACUAUGACAGUUGCAGGAAAUUUUGUAUGCAUAACACUUGGAACUUCAGAAGGGUCUGCACAUAACCGUCUGUCAUUUCUUCUGUUAACUUUUUGAUCUUGGUCGAAGAUUUUCUUGUUUGAGAAAAACCAAAUAAAAUCUUUUGCUGGAUUUUUCAGUUUGUUUAAGAGCCUUUUAGAUCUGAUGUAGUGAUUUUCUUUUGCUUUUUCUGCCAAAUUGACCUUUCCUCAUCAUAUAAGACUUAUAUCUGAUGUCUUCAUGGACAACAUUUCUGAUCGUUCCUUCUGACACAUGGAGAUCUUUUGCAAUUGACCUUAAUGGACUUUCUGGGAUUGUAAUCAAUGACCUGUUGAACUUGCUGGAUAAAUUCAGGUGGUCUGAUGAUUUCAGAGCAUUCAAAAUGCUUUUUAUGCUUUGAUGCUGUGAUACAUUUCCAUCUUCAGUCUCCAGCACCUUACAAACUUUGUAGAUGAAAGAUCUGGCAACUUUAAAAAAAAAAUCGAGAUAUUUCUAAAUUGCUAUGCUCAGCACUAAUAACGGAGUCAAUAUCUGUUGACAUGAGUUUGUUUUGAAGCCAGAGGAGGAUAUGGGCAUGAGGGAGUCCUCUUUUCUGCCAUUCUACUGUGUACAUGAAGCAACUUAAUGGUCCAAAAACAUAUCCGUGUUUUAUAACGUCCAUCAUUUUCAUUAACUUCAGAUGAAACACUCUAGAUGUAAUAUCUGUUUCUUUAUUACCCACAAGGGGCUACACACAGAGGGGACAAACAAGGACAGACAAACGAAUUAAGUCGAUUACAUUGACCCCAGUGUAUAACUGGUACUUAAUUUAAUGACCCCGAAAGGAUGAAAGGCAAAGUCGACCUCGGCGGAGUUUGAACUCAGAACGUAACAGCAGAUGAAAUACGGCUACGCAUUUCACCCGGCAUGCUAACGGUUCUGCCAGCUCGCCGCCUUUUGAUGUGAUAUCACUCUAGAUGUGAUAUCAUGCCUAUCUGGAGUAUUUGGGCCGUAAAGUGAGACUGGCUGUCAACCCAUUUUGGAUUACAAGAGAAGGUGAGGAAAAAAUCUGGACAGCCACUGUGGUGGACAUAAGUGAGAGCAUCCUGCAUUUUUUCAUGCAUGUACUAGGGGCCUUCAGUGUAUGAUGAUAGGAGAAUGACAGAACGUCCAAUAUUCAAAGCAGCAACCUGAUCAUUUCGUCUUACUUCGUCAUGAAGAUUGCCAUAUUCUUCUGUACACAAUUCCUUUUGAUGGUGUCUUAUCCAUCGGUGGCAUUCAGUGUCAAUCGGGAAAGGGAAGAAAUGUGUGGAGUAAAUAGUUAGUGACCUGGCUAAGGAAAUUUUGUGGAAGAAAUCACAAAAUAAGAAUAUCUACCUUAGCAAAUAUGUCUACACAGUAUUGAUUGAGGAGCAUCUGUGUUCUAUGAAGAAUGCUGAUGUUGUUGUUGCGAACUAUACUCUUUACUCUUUUACUUGUUUCAGUCAUUUGACUGCGGCCAUGCUGGAGCACCGCCUUUAAUCGAGCAACUCGACCCCGGGACUUAUUCUUUUGUAAGCCCAGUACUUAUUCUAUCAGUCUCUUUUGCCGAACCGCUAAGUGACGGGGACAUAAACACACCAGCAUCGGUUGUCAAGCAAUGCGAGGGGGACAAACAUAGACACACAAAUAUAUAUAUAUAUAUAUAUAUAUAUAUAUAUAUAUAUAAAUAUACAUAUAUACGACGGGCUUCUUUCAGUUUCCGUCUACCAAAUCCACUCACAAGGCUUUGGUCAGCCUGAGGCUGUAGUAGAAGACACUUACCCAAAGUGCCACGCAGUGGGACUGAACCCGGAACCAUGUGGUUGGUAGACAAGCUACUUUCCACACAGCCACUCCUGCGCCUAUAAGCUGAAAUGCAUAAAAUUCCAUUUACUUGUUUCAGUCAUAGGAGCAGGCAUGGCUGUGUGGUAAGAAGCUUGCUUCCCAAUGACAUGGUUCUGGGUUCAGUCCCAUUGCAUGGCACCUUGGGCAAAUGUCUUCUACUAUAGUCUCAGGCCAACCAAAAACCUUGUGAGUGGAUUUGGUAGACUGAAACUGAAAGAAGCCCAUCGUGUGUAUAUAUAUGUGUGUGUGCAUGUGUGUGCAUGUGUAUGUAUUCGUGUGUUUGUUUUUCCCCCCCCCCAUAUCGCUUGACAACUGAUGGUGUGUUUACGUCACCAUAACCUAGCGGUUCAACAAAAGGGGCCAAUAGAAUGAGUACUAGGCUUACAAAGAAUAAGUCAUGGUGGUGGGGGGGUCGAUUUGUUUGACUAAAGGCGGUGCUCCAGCAUGGCCGCAGUCAAAUGACUGAAACAACUAAAAGAAUAAAAGAAUAUAUAUAUUCUGCAGUCAAGCAUAGCAUUGAAAGGACACACUGUGAAACCUGCUCAAGCACAAGAAAUUUAUAAUGGACUAGCAGUAUCGCCCGGCGUUGCUCGGGUUUGUAAGGGAAAUAACUAUAUAAGCAUUUUUAGAGAUGUAAAGUAUAAUAGCCAUCUCAAUAUGGCUAACCACAAAGGGGGGUGUUACUGUAGCUUUUUACAUUCUGAGAUUUAAUAAUACAUUUUUAGAGAGUUACUUCCCUUAUAUAAUAGCUAAAAAAUGCAUUAAAAAUGGGAAAAAAUGAUGUUAAAUUUUUUUUUUAAAUCGUAGACUCAUCGUAGACGCGUGCUAAUACCCAGAAGGGCUCGAUAUGAAUCACGACUAUAAGAUACCCGGUUUUAGUUAAACUGCACCGCAAAAUGUGGGAGUAGUUAGGAAUCCAAAUCGUAGGAGACAGACAGCACAACUUCACAUUUAUAUAUAAAGAUUUAUAAGCAGAGUCUCUGUGGACACAUAUUGUACUCAGUCCAGUGCAAUAUCAAGGCAUGAGCACACAGUACAGUUGACUGGGGACCUCAUGGGUUUAGGGGCCCCAAUUCUGAUCUACAUAUGUUGUUGUUUGCUGUCAAUAAAUGGGUCCAGUGUAUUGAUUUACCCAGGGCUUAUAAUGCUGUUAAGGAUUGGAAUUAGUUUGGCUCUUUACUCUUUUACUAGUUUCAGUCAUUUGACUGUGGCCAUGCUGGAGCACUGCCUUUAGUCGAAGAAAUCGACUCCAGGACUUAUUCUUUGUAAGCUUACUACUUUUUCUAUCGGACUCUUUUGCCGAACCGCUAAGUUACGGGGACGUAAACACACCAACAUCAGUUGUCAAGCAAUGCUAGGGGGACAAACAGACACACACACACACACAUAUAUAUAUAUAUAUAUAUAUAUACAUACGACAGGCUUCUUUCAGUUUCCGUCUACCAAAUCCACUCACAAGGUUUUGGUCGACCCAAGGCUAUAGUAGAAGACACUUGACCAAGGUGCCACACAGUAGGACAGAACCCAGAACCAUAUGGUUGGUAAGCAAGCUACUUACCACACAGCCACUCCUGCACCUGAAUCAGUUUUUGUUUCCCCUUUUUCCAGUUGUAUAUUAAAUCAAGCACUGUGUCCUCUUUUAGGUGACAAAAGUACAAGUAAAAUACAAAGAAAUGACCAGAAGUGAUGACAAUAAAUCAAAGGAAAACUCAAGUCCAAAACUUACACCUGUACUGGUCCACAUACAAUGCACCCAUACAAGGGCAUCCAUAGCUAAACCAAGCUAAAUCUUUUUGACAGAAAAAUUAACCAAGAUUUUUUUCGAAAAAUCUGUUUUUUUAACCACCAUAACCACCACCACAACUUCCCCUCUCUGGACCGGUUUUCGUCGAUUCUGUGGGCACUAUGCACUUAACUAUAGAAGCCUUUCCAGGAAAAAAAAUAUAUAUUUUCAGACGAAAAUAUGUGGUAUUAAAGGAAGAUUUGGCUGUUGUUUCUAGCAUAUCUCAUGCCCACCUUCCUCGUUUCUUUCUCACUCUAACAAGUGUUGGUGUUUUUCAAUAUUGUCUUCCUAUUAAUAACAUAAACUCAUUUAUGCUACUAAAAAGAAUAUUUUUGAAAAUUUAUGAUUUUUAUGAAACCAACCUUACCGGUCAUGGAAACAACAACCAAAUCUCCCUUAAAAUCACACACCUAUUCAUCUAAAAAUAUCUACUUUUUUUUUUACUGAAAGGUCUUUUUAAGAGCAUAGUGCCCACAAAUUCGACCAAAACUGGUCAAGAGAGGGGAAGUUGUGGGGGGAAGGGGUUAAAAAAUAUAUUUUCCGAAAAAUUUAUUUUCUGUAAAAAGAUGCUUCAGAUCAUUUCCAAAGAAUCCAUGAAAGAAAUUUCGGAAAAAUCCCCGUCAAAACGGAGAAAUUCCAACUUGGUGCUAUCUAUCUCCGACGUCCGUCGAGACGGGCAUGGCUAUGCUGUUACAAAAUUUGCUUCACAACUAUGAGGUUUUGGGUUCAGUUCCACUGUAUGACACCUAGGGCAAAUGUCUUCUACUAUAGCCCCAGGCCAACCAAAGCCUUGUGAGUGGAUUUGGUAGACGGAAACUGAAAGAAGCCCAUCGUGUGUAUAUAUAUGUGUGUGAAGGCGGCGAGCUGGUAGAAUCGUUAGUACGCCGUGCGAAAUGCUUAGCGGUAUUUCGUCCGCUGCUGCGUUCUGAGUUCAAAUUCCGCCGAGGUCGACUUUACCUUUCAUCCUUUCGGGGUCGAUAAAUUAAGUACCAGUUACGCACUGGGGUCGAUGUAAUCGACUUAAUCCCUUUGUCUGUCGUUGUUUGUCCCCUCUGUGUUUAGCUCCUUGUGGGUAGUAAAGAAAUAUAUAUAUGUGUGUGUGCGUGUGUAUGUAUUUGUGUGGGUGUGUUUGUCCCCUCCCACCAGUGGACACUUACACGUUUGUAUGUGAGUUUUUGUGUGCGUGUACAGGUGUAGAAGGGCGAAAAGGUUAAGUUCUUUUUGCAACCCUGAAUUGGAUAUCAUUUUAGAUUUUUUUUUCUAAGGUGUAAGGCGGCAAGCUGGCAGAAACGCGGCCCAAAUACUUAACGGCAUUUCAUCCGUUUUUACGUUCUGAGUUCAAAUUCCACCGAGGUCGACUUAACCUUUCAUUCUUUCGGGAUGGACAAAAAAAAAAUAAUAAGUACCAGAAGCGUACUGAGGUCGACAUAAUCAACGAGCCCCCAUCCCACCCCCAAUUUCAGGCCUUGUACCUGUAGAUUCUAGUAGUGUUUAUUAUUUUAGGCAUGAUAAGUGAGGGUGAAGAAGGACGCGACGUUUAAAAUACGUUUCAGAAUAUGAUAAACCUACACCAACGUAAGGGGGAAAAUCUUUUUAAGUAACGUAGCUGCCAUAAAGGUAUGAAAAGUGGGAGGUGCAGACAUUUAAAAAUCAUGAAUUGAAAUAUUUUCAUUUCAUAAAAUUUAAAAAAAUUAAAAAAGUGGGGACGGAAUAGUUUCGUUUAUGGUCAGGAGAUUUCCUGCUGGUUGUUCGGUAAUUUCCAUAAAUAAUUUUAAUUUAUUUACUUCAGUUUUCAUGUCCCCUUGAAUGCGACAUUCCCUAGAAGUUCGACUUUUCACCUAUCUCACCGACUUCAGAGCAAAUGUCGCCUUCAAACUGGACAUGAAAACAAAAGUAAUUAAAUAUAACUUCUUUCGAAAGUUGCUAAACAACCAGCUGGAAAUCUCGAGACCAUAAUAAAGAAUCUUGCAAACCAAAUCCAAAAAAGGAAAUAAUAAACGAAAUUAUGCCAAACUAGGCUUACGGCGGACCUAUUGCGCAUUUCAAAAUUAUGAGAUUUUUCAAUUUACUCUGCAACCAGACUCGUCGCCAGACUUCGGUUCUCGGGGGUGUUUCAGAAUAUUCUGGUUCGGAACCAAUUUGUAAUAAUGCUAAAGUGGAGUUUUGAAAUAAGUAUAUCACUGUAAAUCUGAGGGUACACCAGUGAAUAGAGAAGACAGUUAGGGCACACAUGUGGACGUAUGCCUAUGCCAUACCUCUACAUAUGUCUAUCCCCCCCAAUAGAACAGGAGUUCUCAACCAUUUUUUUUAUCUAUGGAACCCUUUGAUUACUAUUUUAUUCUGGUGGACCCCAUAGCCAUUUGAUGUUUAAAAACUAGUUUUAUAGUAACUUACUAAAUUCUUUUUUUGUUUUUCAUACAUUAACUUGUGUAGGUUGAACUACAUAUGUUAGAGAAAGAAACCUAGCUCCCUCUUACAAUACAUACAAAAUUUUUUCAGGGGCUCUUAAAAUACUAUUGAAGAUCCCCAGUUUACUAUUUACUAUUUAGUUGCGUGGACCCCAAAAAUUUCAUGUGGACCCAGAAUGAAAACAACUACUAUAGAAGAAAUAUUAGUUUCAUUUAAAUUGACACCGCUUUGGUUAAGGAUUACCAAUCCGUAUUAUUGAUUCGAUUACACCGACUCCAGUAUUUGACAGAUACUUUGUUUCAUCGACCUCGAAAGAAUGAAAGGCAAAGUUAACCUUGGUGAGAUUUGAACGCAAAACGUUUAACAGCUAUAAUUAAAAAAACCACGAACAUUUCGUUCGAUUCUCAAACGAUUCGGUCAUCCUAUCACCUUUGUCUAUUUUUAUCGAUCUCUCUACUUACCGUAUUUUAACGUAAGGUACCCUUUUUUGUCAAAAAUUAGGUUAAAAAAAUAUGGGAGUUUCUUAAACAUAGAUAGUAUUAUAAUCCCUUACAAAACUUUUUUCUUCAAAUUUUAAGCACGAAAAAUUAGGGGAUUCCUUAUACAAGAGGGUUCCUUUAACACGUUAAAAUACGGUAAAUAGGAUUUGUUUUAUCGAUUUCAGUAGCUGAAAGGCAAACUUUGUAAUUUUCGAUCUUAUAAUUGUUUACUUACUUCUUACGGAUAUCCUCGUGGACCAUAGCAAUGACAUUCUUUACCCGUGGGCUAAGCCUUUUGCCUAGUGAUACACUGCAUGAACUAAGUUUUAGGUCAUCCGUUGUUUUAACGGUUUUCCCGUAAUAUUCCUUCACUUGAUCGUGGAUUUUUCCUUCACUUGCGUCACACAUGUUUAUAUUUAUUCCUAGAGAAACAACACUUUGGUAUUAUCUACAAGUGUCGGCGAAAAGCUUAAAGGAGCGAUUAAUGAAAUUCAGCUUUAUAUGGAGAACAAAGUAGGACGUGCUUACGUCGCUCGUUGGUGCUUCUGCCGGCGUUUACCCCGCCCCUCGUCCUUUCGCUUUACAAUACAUUAUUUGACAACGUAUCAUCAAUUUUAUAAAGGCCAAGAGAAAGUUUUUUUUUCUUCGUUAUUCUCCCUCUAUUCGAAAUAGAAAUCACAAACUAGAAAUAAAAUUAGUUUUUCGGAAUUUUUUUAACAUUUUCUGAAUGCAAAACAAUAGCAAAUUACUCAUUCACAAAAAAAAAAAAUGCUUUUUUUUUUUUUUUUCAAAACCCGUUUUUUGAAAUGUCACAGCAACUAAUUUCGUAUCUUCUCCCUAUCUGUCGUCUACAACGUGUCUUCGCAAUAUCUCGAGUAAAAUUAUUUUUCCAUAUUCGUAAUUUUUCAUCGUUUUAUCCAGAAACAUUUCUGGCGAUCUUUCGUCUCUAGUAGACCUUUCCGUCGAUUUCCGUAAAAAUUUUUUUUUUUUUACAUAUGGGCUUGCGGGAACUUUUGAAGUAAUAUACAUACAUAUACACAUACACCGAGUAAAAAAUUUCAGUUAUCUCUCUCUUUCACACAUUACUCUGUCUCUUCACACACACUAACAGAAGCACUUCACUUACACAACAUACUGUCUGUCUCCCACACCCCAUCAAACACACACACACACAUGUACAUCAAUGCUUUCCAUGCACGGUAACUUCAAAAGAACUUCCCUCGUCAUACAAUCGCUUUCUCUUAGUGUCUUUCGCUCUCAUUACUUCAAAAGUUCCCGCAAGCCCAUAUGUAAAAAAAAAGUUUUUUACGGAAAUCGACGGAAAGGUCUACUAGAGACGAAAGAUUGCCACAUUUCUAAUUCGCAGUUUAAAGAAAGGAAAGAAAAUUUAAUAACCUACUCCCCUCAUUCAUCGUACAUUCCACGAUUAAAAUCAAUUUUUGGGGGGUUUUUUUCGCUCUAAAUUCGCCUCGUAUCUACUACUCUUUUAUCCUUUCACUUGUUUCAGGCAUUUGACUGCGGCCAUGCUGGUGCACCACCUUUAGUCGAGCAAAUCGACCCAGGACUUAUUCUUUGUAAGAUCAGUACUUAUUCUAUCGGUCUCUUCAUACUAGCUGGACCCAUGAAAAAUUCACGGAAAACAAAAAAUGUAAGCAUCUGCGAACAGUGUACUGGUGCCAUGAGAAAUGUUUGUAUAUUAUGACCGUCUGUCUUUAUGUUCUG